UUAUACGAGAGUUAUUAUUUUCUCAAGAGGAAAAUCGAAGCUGCUGUUACUAUAAACUCAUGAAACAUUUCCUUUUAAAAAAGUUAACACCGUAACGGAGAGAAUUAACAACAUCGCAAGAUAUAACUCCCAAACGUCGACUUAUCAAAGGUGUGUGGCCGAGUCAAUGGAGCAUUACAACAGGCCGUACCACUUUUGAUGGGGUACUCUGUAAGAUCCACACGCAAGAAAUUGGCCAUGUAAAUAGUUUCUGAUUGGAUUGCAGUGGAAUAGGUCUAGUAAAUCACUAGGAACCACGUGGAUAGAACGUCUAGUAUAGCAUCAGUCUUCUUCUCCUACUAUCUACAGAAAAAUGCCCACAUUUACAAUGUUAUCGACUGUUUGCAGCUUCUAGUUGCAUGUUUUUCUACACGACAGAAAUACAAUUUUCUCAAGAAGCUAAUAAAAAAUGUUGAUAAAAGAUUUAAUAAAAUCGAUCAAUUUAAUU
Long non-coding RNA from Centruroides sculpturatus (bark scorpion), 487 nucleotides. RefSeq lists it as uncharacterized. NCBI's taxonomy places the organism in Eukaryota, Metazoa, Arthropoda, Arachnida, Scorpiones, Buthidae. The record is from RefSeq and is a predicted model, not a curated record. The transcript is spliced from 3 exons.